GUGCUAUUGCUCCAGCCCGUGUCCUAACUCUUGAGGAAAGGCUUGUGAUAUGAUGUGAUAGCUGGGGUUAAAAAAUGCAAUAUUUAAAAAAAAGCCAUGCGUCUUAUAAGUCCUGGUGUAAAGACACUCUGAGUUUGUAACUCACAGGUACAACU
Molecule: non-coding RNA, 155 nt
Organism: Sorex araneus (European shrew)
Lineage: Eukaryota; Metazoa; Chordata; Mammalia; Eulipotyphla; Soricidae
Product: small Cajal body-specific RNA 1
Exons: 1
Source: RefSeq, a predicted model, not a curated record